Molecule: RNA transcript, 2211 nt
Organism: Malania oleifera
Lineage: Eukaryota; Viridiplantae; Streptophyta; Magnoliopsida; Santalales; Ximeniaceae
Exons: 3
Source: RefSeq, a predicted model, not a curated record
UUGUGUUCUGGGCCGACUCCAAAGAAAUAGCAGUUAUUGCCUUUAGUUUGAUUUUAAGAGUGGAAUAGUAAUUCCGGGGCAAGCUUCUAUUUUGUCAAAUCUGGAAUGCUUAUUCCGGAAUCCCAAGAAGAAAGAUGAGGAUGCUUGUUCUGGCCUGGCUUGGAAAGUAUAAGAACUUUGUAAUCCACUCAUACCCUUCUAUCAUUUCAAAAUGUGCAGGGCACAUAUCCCAUCGGCAUUCUGAUUGAGGAUACAAAUCCCUCCUCUCUGCGAUCGGACGCAGUGCCUGAUAUCUCAAUCUGUUCCUUAGGCUACUCUGCCACAAUCUUGAUCCCAUUUAAUGAGCGUUCUCUAGAAAGCCUUACCUCUCCAACUAGGCACUGUGUUUAAGAUCUUAAUCUCAUUCCUUGGACCAGUCUGGCAUCAAAUCUUGCUAUCAAACCUUGUUACUCUUCGUGAAAGUUCUGCAUUGAGCAUGAUUCCAAGAAGCUUCCUAACUAGCAAUUGAAGAGACUUCCUGGUUUCCGCUUGAGAUUCCUCUCGCCUUUGGAUGACAGUUACUAAUUUUGGAUAAGCUGGAGGUUUUACUUAUUCCAGCGUAAUUGAGGCAGAGCAUUGACUUGUGGGUCAGCCGCCAGUUCAAUCUCUUAGUCGGAACACCAUGGUACUGCCCUCUGAGCACACCAAUGAUCUUGAAGAUUAGAUUAUGGAAAUGUUCGUGUUUAUGGCACUCCAGGCGGACUAAUAUGGAUCCCGCCCCAGAGUGAUAAGAAUGAGAGUAGUGAAGAGCAGGAUGGAGGGAUUUGACGGUGGCACAAAAACAUGUGAUAAAUCUUGGCAUUUCUCUUUUGAUAGACUUUUUAUUUCAAAAUAAUUUUCAUUUUGUAAAUCAUCCUAGUAUAUAUUUGUUAUUUGUUUGAGAGCCUUUCAACUGUUUAUUUCAAUUGUAUUGGGGAUUGUAUCUAUAUUAACUUUUUGGGUGAACUAAUGAAGUUUAGCAAGUGUUUCGAAUUGGACACUAAAUUUUAAUCUGGCACCGAAUUUUACGCAUUAUUUUAAUAACAUUGAACGUAAAGUGAUCCCAAAAUCUUGAAACCGUGAAUUAUAAAUGCUACAGGGCUUCACAAUUAGAGAAAAAAAACUUACAAUUUCAUUGAAAACUGGAAAGGGUUUUGUACAGUUGUUCGCGAAAGAAGAAAUUUGAGAUUAUAACAAAAAAACCCCCAAUCACCUAAUCAAUCAGAUAUUUGAGAUUAUAACAAAAAACCCCCAAUCACCUAACCAAUCAUCAUCAGCAAUGAAAACCGAGAACGGAUCCAUCACUCACUUCAAUAACCACCGUACAAGUCGUUCGGCUCUCCACUCGAUGCGUGAACACCUUCAAAACCCUAACCCUACCUCCCAACUUCAUCCUCGAUUCUACCUGAAGCGUCGGCUCCACCAGCCCUACCCCGCCACCAACGCCAACGUCGCCUACGCCCAACGCAGUCGCCCCCGGAUUCACCGGCAGCGACUCGACGUUGAACGUUGCCACCAUGUAUUGCGUCUGGCCUGCCUCGAUCCGGCCUGCGGGGAUGGGCGUGAAGCCGAGCUCGGUGCCGGCGUAAAGGAUCUCCAGCGAGCUGUCGUAGUGCAUGAAGGCGUCGUGGUUAGGGUUCUUGACGGAUACCUGCUGCGAGAAUGUGAAGCUGGCGGAGCCGUUGGAGAUGGCGAAAGCAGGGAACCUCACGGCGUCCACAGCGACCUUCGGGUCUCUGGGCUUGAAGACGGAGAAGUAGACGAUGAGGAUGACGGCCACAACGAAGAGUAAGAAUAUAGUGGCUACCACACAUGAUGCUAGGUUUGUGUGGGUAGACCUUCGUGGUGGUCUGUGCAUAGUUACCUCAAAGUCUGUUUCUGCUUUUCUGUUUUUGUUUUCUUUGUUUUUUGUUUUUGUUUUGUUUUUUUUGGUUUUUGUUUUUGCUUUUUGUGCUUUUGUUUUUGUUUGUGUGUGUUUCCAAAGCAACAAGACGAUUUGCUGUAUUAAAAGGUGCGAGAAGAGAAGGGAGAGGGGAGGGGUUGUCUUGCUUUUGAUACUGGGCACUGGGCAGGGCUGCCUCUGGGAUACAAUUAUGCACUUAACAAAGGUAUUUUAAAAAGCACCCAAGAUGCUUUUAUUUUAUGCUAGGUGUUUUAAAGAUAACUUUUGAGUAAAAAUUACGUUUAGCAUAA